RNAcentral lists this transfer RNA (73 nucleotides) under Yersinia enterocolitica. Its description in RNAcentral is "tRNA-Pro". Lineage: Bacteria; Pseudomonadati; Pseudomonadota; Gammaproteobacteria; Enterobacterales; Yersiniaceae. RNAcentral also lists the same sequence under 1 other name. The record is from RNAcentral.
CGGGUUUCAAAGGUUAGAGACGGGUGACAUGGGGUGUCGGGGGUCGGAGGUUCAAAUCCUCUCAUGCCGACCA